AGUGACAAGAAAUAACAAUACAGGGCCUAACGGUCUUGUAAUUGGAAUGAGUUAAGUAUAAACCCCUUUACAAGUAUCAAUUGGAGGGCAAGUCUGGUGCCAGCAGCCGCGGUAAUUCCAGCUCCAAUAGCGUAUAUUAAAGUUGUUGCAGUUAAAAAGCUCGUAGUUGAUUUUCUGUUAAUUUUUAUGUGUAAUAUUGCGAUAUUUACAUAAUAUUAACAUAAUUCACAUUACUUUACAGUAUGUGGAAUUUUACUUUGAGAAAAUUAGAGUGCUUAAAGCAGG
RNAcentral lists this ribosomal RNA (285 nucleotides) under Cryptosporidium environmental sequence. Its description in RNAcentral is "partial small subunit ribosomal RNA". It matches the Rfam family "Eukaryotic small subunit ribosomal RNA", at positions 466 to 784 of the family's 1831-position model. The record is from RNAcentral. Lineage: Eukaryota; Apicomplexa; Conoidasida; Eucoccidiorida; Cryptosporidiidae.